This 420-nucleotide ribosomal RNA is filed under the name uncultured bacterium. Its description in RNAcentral is "bacterial SSU rRNA". It matches the Rfam family "Bacterial small subunit ribosomal RNA", at positions 72 to 507 of the family's 1533-position model. The record is from RNAcentral.
UUCGGGGUGCGUUUGGGGAAGCUUAGCGGCGGACGGUGAGUAACGCGUGAGUAACCUGCCUGUAAGAGGGGGAUAACACAGAGAAAUUUGUGCUAAUACCGCAUAUUGAAUAACAUUCGCAUGUUUGUUAUUUGAAAGAUUUAUCGCUGUGAGAUGAGCUCGCGUCUGAUUAGCUAGUUGGUGGGGUAACGGCCUACCAAGGCGACGAUCAGUAGCCGGACUGAGAGGUUGAACGGCCACAUUGGGACUGAGACACGGCCCAGACUCCUACGGGAGGCAGCAGUGGGGAAUAUUGCGCAAGUGGGGGAAACCCUGACGCAGCAACGCCGCGUGAAGGAAGAAGGCCUUCGGGUUAGUAAACUUUUGUCUUCUGGGAAGAUAAUGACAGUACCAGGGGAGGAAGCUCCGGCUAACUACGUG